CCUACGGGUGGCAGCAGUGGGGAAUAUUGGACAAUGGGGGCAACCCUGAUCCAGCCAUGCCGCGUGUGUGAAGAAGGCCCUCGGGUUGUAAAGCACUUUCAGUGAGGAAGAACGCCUGGUGGUUAAUACCCAUCAGGAAAGACAUCACUCACAGAAGAAGCACCGGCUAACUCCGGGCCAGCAGCCGCGGUAAUACGGAGGGUGCGAGCGUUAAUCGGAAUUACUGGGCGUAAAGCGCGCGUAGGUGGCUUGAUAAGCCGGUUGUGAAAGCCCCGGGCUCAACCUGGGAACGGCAUCCGGAACUGUCAAGCUAGAGUGCAGGAGAGGAAGGUAGAAUUCCCGGUGUAGCGGUGAAAUGCGUAGAGAUCGGGAGGAAUACCAGUGGCGAAGGCGGCCUUCUGGACUGACACUGACACUGAGGUGCGAAAGCGUGGGUAGCAAACAGGAUUAGAUACCCCAGUAGUC
Molecule: ribosomal RNA, 465 nt
Filed under: Vreelandella stevensii
Lineage: Bacteria; Pseudomonadati; Pseudomonadota; Gammaproteobacteria; Oceanospirillales; Halomonadaceae
Description: partial 16S ribosomal RNA
Rfam family: Bacterial small subunit ribosomal RNA
Source: RNAcentral